GCGUGGGCAGAAAUGUGAUGGCGUCGCCGCCGCUGAUUCUUGUCCGUGCGUCUCGGCGGAGGCGUCACGAAACGCCUUGGCCUCUGAAACAGAAUCGACGCACUCUGCUCGCGUGCUGAGAAACGCCGAUUUCUCGGAGCUUCGGGGAUAACGGGGACGCUUGUUAAUCUCUUGUUGACUCUUUCGGCCUUAUAUCACCACAUGUAGAUGUCACGGU
Molecule: unclassified non-coding RNA, 217 nt
Filed under: Hevea brasiliensis (rubber tree)
Lineage: Eukaryota; Viridiplantae; Streptophyta; Magnoliopsida; Malpighiales; Euphorbiaceae
Source: RNAcentral